AGCAGUGGGGAAUUUUGAACAAUGGGCGCAAGCCUGAUCCAGCCAUGCCGCGUGUGGGAAGAAGGCCUUCGGGUUGUAAACCACUUUUGUCAGGGAAGAAACGGCUCUUACUAAUAUUAGGAGCUAAUGGCGGUACCUGAAGAAUAAGCACCGGCUAACUACGUGCCAGCAGCCGCGGUAAUACGUAGGGUGCAAGCGUUAAUCGGAAUUACUGGGCGUAAAGCGUGCGCAGGCGGCUUUGCAAGACAGAUGUGAAAUCCCCGGGCUCAACCUGGGAACUGCAUUUGUGACUGCAUGGCUAGAGUACGGUAGAGGGGGAUGGAAUUCCGCGUGUAGCAGUGAAAUGCGUAGAUAUGCGGAGGAACACCGAUGGCGAAAGCAAUCCCCUGGACCUGUACUGACGCUCAUG
Molecule: ribosomal RNA, 409 nt
Filed under: uncultured bacterium
Lineage: Bacteria
Description: bacterial SSU rRNA
Rfam family: Bacterial small subunit ribosomal RNA
Source: RNAcentral